CAGGAUAGCUCAGUUGGUAGAGCAGAGGACUGAA
This 34-nucleotide transfer RNA is filed under the name Elymus sibiricus. Its description in RNAcentral is "partial tRNA-Phe". The record is from RNAcentral. Lineage: Eukaryota; Viridiplantae; Streptophyta; Magnoliopsida; Poales; Poaceae.